RNAcentral lists this small nuclear RNA (20 nucleotides) under Arabidopsis thaliana (thale cress). Its description in RNAcentral is "snRNA_13081". The record is from RNAcentral. Lineage: Eukaryota; Viridiplantae; Streptophyta; Magnoliopsida; Brassicales; Brassicaceae.
AAAGUGACCAUUGGAGCAUC